AAAAAUGGAAUUUCCCAAGAAAAAGAUCAUCGUAACAAACGGGUAGCAUCUUCCUUUGUUUCAUGUUCUUGUUCUUGCUUUGACUCACUCUCAGAGACACCAAAUUUUCUCUUGCGACACUUGACAUAAGGUAAAACAAUUUUUUUUGAAGCAAGGUAAAACAAUUUAUAAGUUUAGUUUUCAUCUAAAAAUAAACACCUGUUUAAUUUUAUCUAAA
RNAcentral lists this long non-coding RNA (217 nucleotides) under Trifolium pratense (red clover). RNAcentral describes it as "long non-coding RNA (TPRA_LNC006695)". The record is from RNAcentral. Lineage: Eukaryota; Viridiplantae; Streptophyta; Magnoliopsida; Fabales; Fabaceae.